GGUUAAGCGACCAAGCGUACACGGUGGAUGCCCUGGCAGUCAGAGGCGAUGAAGGACGUGCUAAUCUGCGAUAAGCGCCGGUAAGGUGAUAUGAACCGUUAUAACCGGCGAUGUCCGAAUGGGGAAACCCAGUGUGACUCGUCACACUAUCAUUAACUGAAUCCAUAGGUUAAUGAGGCGAACCGGGGGAACUGAAACAUCUAAGUACCCCGAGGAAAAGAAAUCAACCGAGAUUCCCCCAGUAGCGGCGAGCGAACGGGGAGGAGCCCAGAGCCUGAAUCAGCAUGUGUGUUAGUGGAAGCGUCUGGAAAGGCGCGCGAUACAGGGUGACAGCCCCGUACACAAAAGCGCACAUGCUGUGAGCUCGAUGAGUAGGGCGGGACACGUGGUAUCCUGUCUGAAUAUGGGGGGACCAUCCUCCAAGGCUAAAUACUCCUGACUGACCGAUAGUGAACCAGUACCGUGAGGGAAAGGCGAAAAGAACCCCGGCGAGGGGAGUGAAACAGAACCUGAAACCGUGUACGUACAAGCAGUGGGAGCC
This 541-nucleotide ribosomal RNA is filed under the name Salmonella enterica. RNAcentral's name for it is "partial 23S ribosomal RNA". It matches the Rfam family "Bacterial large subunit ribosomal RNA", at positions 1 to 581 of the family's 2925-position model. Lineage: Bacteria; Pseudomonadati; Pseudomonadota; Gammaproteobacteria; Enterobacterales; Enterobacteriaceae. The record is from RNAcentral.